Molecule: ribosomal RNA, 607 nt
Filed under: Cyphomyrmex minutus symbiont FL2
Lineage: Eukaryota; Fungi; Basidiomycota; Agaricomycetes; Agaricales; Agaricaceae
Also listed under: 4 other names
Description: eukaryotic LSU rRNA
Rfam family: Eukaryotic large subunit ribosomal RNA
Source: RNAcentral
GGAGGAAAAGAACUAACAAGGAUUCCCCUAGUAACUGCGAGUGAAGCGGGAAAAGCUCAAAUUUAAAAUCUGGCAGUCUUUGGCUGUCCGAGUUGUAAUCUAGAGAAGUGUUGCCCGCGCUGGACCGUGUACAAGUCUCCUGGGAUGGAGCGUCAUAGAGGGUGAGAAUCCCGUCUCUGACACGGACUACCAGGGCUUUGUGGUACGCUCUCAAAGAGUCGAGUUGUUUGGGAAUGCAGCUCAAAAUGGGUGGUAAAUUCCAUCUAAAGCUAAAUAUUGGCGAGAGACCGAUAGCGAACAAGUACCGUGAGGGAAAGAUGAAAAGAACUUUGGAAAGAGAGUUAAACAGUACGUGAAAUUGCUGAAAGGGAAACGCUUGAAGUCAGUCGCAUUAGCUGGGGAUCAGCCUUGCUUUUUGCUGGGUGUAUUUCCUGGUUGAUGGGUCAGCAUCAAUUUUGACCGCUGGAAAAAGGCUUGAGGAAUGUGGCACCUCCGUGGUGUGUUAUAGCUUCUUGUCAUAUACAGUGGUUGGGAUUGAGGAACUCAGCAUGCCGCAAGGCCGGGUUUCGACCACGUUCAUGCUUAGGAUGCUGACAAAAUGGCUUUA